UGGACUACAGCGAAACGUCAACUAUGAUGACUUGGACAAAGAAGAUUACCAUUAGUAGUGUACGACGGCCAACAGUGACGAACAAUGACAAACUACAAGGACUAGAUUUCCAUUAGUAACAGACGAGGGCCUACAAUGGUAAACAACGACAAACUAUAGGGAUUCGAUUGCCAUCAGUAACUGAUGAUGGCCUGUAGUGGCUAACAACAACAGAUUGCAAGGACUAGAUUGGACCACAUAGAAACAUACUCCCUCUCGUGGUGAAAGAUAGAAAUGAUGAUGCGUUGAUGACAAACAAUGAAGAUGGAAGAUCUGAAUCUUCAAAAGAAUAGUCUCCUUUAUUCAUCAAAACACCUAGAAACAGACUCUCCGCAAGAGGAACGCCGAUGGAUAGAGGUGGCGAACAACAGUGAAAAAGACACUAUAGAGAACUAGAAUUAGGAUAGGAAGACUGAGGUACUCAGACACAGGUAUAGAAAGAAAAAAUUCUUAGGCGGUCGGCCAAGACAAUCAAAAUUGUGCUGUCAUUGGUCAAAAAUAGAACUCUGAUUGUAGCAAGGGUAGACGAUGGAGGUAGUAGUAGCGACGGUAGACAAUGACGCUGUCGGCAAAAAUAAUAGACGUCGUUGUUGCUGACAGUGGUGGGUGUAGUGAUAGAGGCGAUAUAAUUUUUUUUUUCUCAAAAGAACUAUUAUAUAAAAGAACCUUAGGCUCUAAAUACCAUAUUGAAUAUAAUGAAAAUUAUGUAUGAGUUUAAUCUCCCUUGAGUUAAAUAUAUACAUAAGGUUCUCUAUUUAUAAUAUAAGAAAUAUACAUUAAGUUCAAAAUACAAAUAAGUAAUAAUAACAAACUAACUAAAGAUAAAAGAUAAGAGAAAGAUAAUUAAUAUAUCUAACAAUUUUAAAG
This 906-nucleotide long non-coding RNA is filed under the name Vigna radiata. RNAcentral's name for it is "long non-coding RNA (VRAD_LNC015874)". The record is from RNAcentral. Lineage: Eukaryota; Viridiplantae; Streptophyta; Magnoliopsida; Fabales; Fabaceae.